GGCACUGUCCCACACUUUAUGGGCCCCGGAGGCGAAAGAGAGCAGAGAAAUUCCUGUUUUAUCCCCAAAAUGCUACUUAAGAUCAGGGGAAAGAUCGUGGGCAUUUGGAUCAGUUAUCUGGAAGAAAAGAAUCCUGAAAAUAAAGCGAUGAGUACAACCUCCCUUCAGGUUCUGAUCCGAGUUCCGUCACUCAAGGACCAUCCCAGAGGCGAGAAGAGAGGUGCCAGCUCUGCCUGGAAAUCCCGCAGGAGAGGCCGGUGGGGCUGAGCACCCGCUUCUGCUUUUCUAAGUGAUUGGGAAGAAUGCGCGCCAGCCAACAGCAGUCGCCAUUCUUAGGGGCUCCAAACACACGCACGUGCCGCCUCGCAGCCCCUCCUGCUCUGAUGCUGGGGACGCUCCGCCGUCAGCCAUGGCAGCUUGAUUUACUGUGGCUGGGACAGCGCCAGGGCUGUUCCGGCUCAAGAUGGGGCGUCAGGCCUGCUAUCUGUGUCCCGAUGGGACCAGGAGCCAUCCCACCGGUGGAAGCACCCUUGAGUGCCAGUGUUUCAAGGUGAAGAAAGGGGCCUGGUGACUGUCCCUAAUCACGGAACCCUGUCACGGAGUGCUGGGGGCACGGGGCCCAGCGUCGGCCCCGCAGAACAACAUUUGGGUUUUCACACUCGACGCUGAAAAGCCAUUAAACGGAAAGGAAACCGGUGCCCUGCCCGCCAGCCGCCGUCCCGGCCCUCACAGUGCCGCUUUUGUUCGGGGUCCGGAGUGUAAAAUUGGAGUGGCAGAUUGUCGGCGCGUCCAUUGCGAAUUUCCUGGCUUUCAUCAGCUGCGCCACUCAAAUGACAGUAUUUAAUCCCAAAUGUUUCCUUCCCUUCCCCUGCCCCUCCGUUUCAUAAACCAGGGGGCCUCCCCCCACACUCGCAAAGUAGACUCCGCUUCCAUUUCUUCAACCAGAAUGAAAAGUAUAUUUAUGAUUUUUCUCUCGUAUAUUUGCAAUUACUCAAAACCCCCCUGAACACGUUCCGGGCGGGGCCUUGCCCAGGAGAACUCGACUUCCUGGGUUUUUGUGUAACGGGAGCAUCUUUUUGCUAACGUCUCCGCCCCCGCUAACCAUUUUAUGAGGUCAAAUCACACAUUGUACCUCCGGGGGCGGGAUCCUGGAGCGACCCGUCCAUGCCAUUUUAUUCUGUGGGCUGCGGCUGGGGUUACACUGCCCAUCAGUUGAGUCAGGCAGUUUUUCUAUCAUUUGGGGGUUUUUCAUCGUUGUUAUUUUAUUAAAGAGUGAUUUGCCCUUGAUAGGAGAAUUCGCCAUCUGAAAUUUAAGACUUGAACUUUCUUUCUGUUGCUUGGUAACUUUGUAGGAACAACCACUCAGCAGGGUGGCCCUGGUGAGACAACCGCUGAAAGGUUUCAAUACCAUCGUGUGUGCAUUUUCCGAUGGAUACACAUCCACGUGUGGAUAAAAUCGUCGCUUACAUUUUGCGUCGUGCACUGGAGCAUCCCCGUAACGUUUCCUAUAAAGCAGGCAGCAUGUGGUCCUGUCUGUGACGAGGCACUUUGGGGUGAGAAGGAGCAAGUGUGACACCUGCUUGUGUCUCAGCGGUGGCUGUGUGGAGUGCGCAGCCCCGAGCCGGGUCUGACGCCUGAGUCGGUCUGAUACCUGAGUAGGAUCGGAUCUCUGGCCGAGAUCCCCAUGGGCCGUGUGACAGUCAGUUUGACGUGUGGACUCAGCCAGGCUGUGGUGCCCAAGUCUUUGACCCCACCCUAAUCUGAGUGUUGCUGAGAAGGCUUUGGGCAGAUGUGGUCAACCCCUACGACCAGUAGCUUUCAGAGACCCGGAUAAUCUGGGGGGGCCUCACCCAAUCAGGUGAAGGGCUUAGGAGCAAAAUCCGAGGUUCCCCUGAGACGAGGAAUUCUGCCUCAAGACAGAAGCAUCCGCUCCUGCUGGAGUUUUCAGCCUUCCGCCAGCCUUACAGGUUUCGGGCUUGCCCGGCCCGACAGUCCGGCGAGACAGUUCCUUAAGACGGAUCCCUUUCAGAGCUUCUCUCCCCUGUUGGUUCUGUCUCUCUGGGGAGCCCUGAUCCGUACUGGCUGAGACCCACAGGGAUGUCAAGCCUGAGCCACGUAAGAGGACAGCAGUCUUGGCCGCUGAGGGUCUGCGAAAAUCAGAAAUGAGCUUCUCUGGCCCUCUUUCGGACCUUCUCGGAAUCUUGAGUUGUUUUCCAAGGAGUGUGUGUGUGUGUGGGGGGGGCCAGUGACAUGUGACAUGGACGUGCAGGACACGCAUCACCGCAUGUGCACCUACAUCAGGUGAGACCGGCUACACACCUGCGUUCACGGCCAUGGGCGGGGGGUCCCAGGAGACGGCUCCUCUGGCGGUGGACUUCCGGGGUGGACCACGGGACUCCUUAUGGACACGGACGGAAUAAUACCGAUGAGCCUGGAAUACACACUAGGGGUUUGUAGUGCCGUGUUGUGCAGCAGAGCAGAAGUCGUCCCGCUGGACUCCCACUCACGUCGCCCACCCCGGCUUUCCACGAGCUUGAAGCAGAGCAGGCUGUUGGCUCUUCCGGGCUCAGUGUGCGAAGGGCUCAAAUCAGGACCUGCCCUUCCAGUUCUGGGGAGCGGAUGCCUUGAUGCAGGCGAGGCCCUCAGGAAAGUGCCCCACUGUGGGACACCACGUAAGGACAUACGCUUUCAUUAUUCAAAUGACCAGUUCCUGCCCUACCACUGGAGUUGGGCUCAAGCCCCAGCACCACCACAAACAAGCUCUGUGGCUUUAGACUGGAACAUCAGCUUCAGAGAUGUUUGGGACCAAGGAUUCUUGCUCAAUACACCUUUGUGCUCUACAACCUUCCUUGUGGUGUCCAGUGCAGGAAAGGCAGAAAACUUCCCUUGGGCUCUGCUGUGUGACUUGUUUGAGUAACUCUACCUCUCUGAGCCUCAGUUUCCUCAUCUGUAGAAUGGGGAGACUAAUGGAACUUUGCCUGCCUUCCAGGAGUACACUGAGGGUCACCUGACAUAGUCGAUUUGAACGUGCUUUGCAAACUGUGAAGUGUUCUGGAUGCUUGUAAGUCACGUGUGAGCAAGCUGUGGGGAAUCGUCUCUCCAUCAGACGCGUGUGUUUGAUGUUGGCUUUUAAUCUCAAACGGCCAAGAGAGGGGAGCCUUGAAUGCCAAUGGGAUUUGAAACUCCUUCAAGGGUUCCGUAUACUUUCUAAGUUCCAGGUUGGCCGAGAUUAUGCAACGGCUGUGAUGAACCCUCCUCCUUUCUGGACUCAUCAAGGGCUCAUCACUUGUCCCAUAGGCUGGGCAAAAUCUUGAAGUGACACCAUGUUGGGGGUUGCGGGAAAGACGCCUUACAAGUGACAGAAUCUAAUCCUUCGUUCCCACGAGGAAUAAUGAUAAUGGUACCAGCUUCUGCUUGCCGAGUCCCAUCGAUGUACUAGUCGCUCUACAUGUGAUGACUGCAGAGUAGGCACCUGGUGCCCACUUUACAGAUGGGGAACUUGUGGCUUGGACAGCUCAAUAAGAAGGAAACUUCUCUACGUCACAAAAUUUGGAGGUGGCAGAAUUGAGAGUGGGAUCCAUGCUCUUUCACCCAAAGUCCAUGUUCCCUUUAGGACGCCAUGCUGGUUUUUGCUUUCCGCCAGACAACCAAUCAGCUCACCAAUCAACAAAUGAACAACCAUCCACCCAACCAAUAAAAACCAACCAAUAAUUAAUCAAUCAACUAACCAUCCAUCCAUCCAACCAACCAACCAACCAGCUAAUGAACAACCAUUCACAACUAAUCAAUAAUUAGUGAACCAACCAACCAACUGGUUAACAACCAGCCACCAUCCAAGCAACAACAUGCGUUGCUACCAGUCGUGUGCUCAGCACUGAGCUUUGGGACGGAGAGAACCCCCUGUCCCAUCCUCAGGGAACUGCCGGCCUGUGGGAAAGCAAGGACCACGGUCCUGCUCACAGCACCGGCCCCAAUUGUCUGUUCCGCAUCUGCCUCCUCAGCUGGGUGGGACUUCCCCAAGGCGAGGGUGACACCUUGGUCGUCCUUGUAGAGUUAGAGCCCAGAACAGGAGCAGCACAUGCAUGCACACAUUCACACAUGCAUGCACACACACACAACAUGGAAUAACUCAGAACACUAUGGAAUGAAUGAAGGAGUCUUAUCAGAAGUGGCUCGGAGGGUCAGAUCCAUCUCAGAGGGUUUGUGCGAAAGGAAGGUUAGACGAUGCUCUGGUCUGGAGAAUUCCCUGCUGGGUGGAGCAAAACAAAUACUUCCAGGGACGCUGCCUUCUGCUGAAGAGCUCUCACUGGGCCCUGUCCUGGACGGGGAGCACGCCGUGGCGGAAAGAGCCCCAGAUUGGGGUCAGGGGUCUGAGCCCAGCUGAGCCACUAACACCUUGGGUGGCCUUGGACGCCUAGCCUCAGUCACCCCCCCUCCACCGCCGCUCCCACAUUUUAUGGACGAGGCCACUGAGGCCCCAAGACCUGAGUUCGCCCCUCUCCAAGGCCCCUUCCAGCUCUGGCAUUUCCAGCCUUUUCUGGCUGCUCAUUAACGGAGUAUUUUCGUUUUCCAAUCCGCAUUCCAGCCUCCUCCCGCGAGCCUCGACCCCUCUGGCAGGGGAGCGGGCACUGUGCGCAGUUCUCUGGAACGCUCCGGGGACCCUCGCCCGUCUCCCACCGGAGCGGCCAGAGGCUAACUGGCAGGCACGGUCGCCUCCCGUACGGGCCCCGCAGACGUGCGCUCGGGGCCGGGGAGCCGGCGCUGCCGGGAAGCACGCGCUCCAUCUCUCUGUCUCUGUUACAGGCCCCGCGGUUCACCGUCUGCUCGGAAAUUGGGUAAGUGUUUUCUUACCCAAACUUGAGUAACCGCCGCUGAAAUGUAUGGUUGGAAAGUCUUGGCUCUCAGAACAGACCACACAGUGACUCGCCCGGUGAAACCCAACGCCCUGGGCUUACUCGGUUUUACCUAAGACACCGCUACAGGAAGAAAUGGGUUUGGAGGCGAUGGAAGUCUUUCCAUCCAUUUCUGAGGGGUUUUAUUAGCAGGAGGAAGGCAGAGGGGUGUCGGUGUGGCUCUGCUUCUCAGCCUGGGCUGGGCGUGGGGGCAGGAAAGCAGGUCCGAGAGGGGGCGAAGGGUGCUCCCCGGGAGCCUGUGGGCCCUGGAGGCUGGCGGCGGCUGCCUGCUGCGUGUGUUCCGUGGGAUCCGGAGCCAGCGAGGAUUCCAGCCCCGGCCCACCGUGUCUUGUGCCACAUUCUGGCAGGCUGUUCGACAUUCAGUGCGGGCCCCAUUUUUAAUCAGCCUCUUUCACCCACACAAGCCAAGAAAAAGCUGUAAAGUCAGAAGGAACGCUGGCAUCUGUUCCAGGCCUCAGAACAGAGCAGAUAUUGUCCCGGCCGCGCAGUUCUCGGCCGCCCUCAUUCUUGUCGACCACACAAAUGGUUCCAGUCAGCUUCCAGAGGCUGUCCGUGGCGUUUCAAGAUGUUUGCUCGCUGCCUUCGCAGGUCAAUUCUCCUCCAGCCUUGGAAGUCACCUUCCCACCCACGCUCUCUGCCUGACACAGAAGGGAAGAUGAGGCGGGAAUUGCUCGUGUGUGUGUGUGUGUGUGUGUGUGUGUGUGUGCCAUUGACAGAUUUCAAUUUUCUAAGUGAGCUGAAAUGCCCUCCUGAGCAGCCGCCACCCCUGACCAAGGAGAUGCCCAAGGAGAGGCCACGGGGCCUCUGCAUUAUGUGGGGAGUGCUGGUGUGGGCGGUUCUCUCCUCGGAACUCGGGAAACACGGCUGCAAGACCACGCCCCACCUCUCACGUGACCCUCACCUGUUGAUGGGGCCAUGCCCGCCUUUCCACCCUGUCCCCGGGGGCUUGGGGCUAUCCCGUCUGAAACCCCUUUUUGGGGCUGACAGUGGCUGUGUCAUUCACCUUCUGCAGAGGACACAGGGCCUCAAGGCCAUGGGGGACUUAAGACGUUUUCCUCUUUCAUCAGAUUGUGUGGAAGCUGAAGGCCUUUUAUGCCGACCUUCCAGGGAGCAGGUUAACAAGGCAGAAAGGACAAGGGUCUCGUUGCUACUGAACAAAGUCAGGUUUGUUGACACAGCAGCAGCCGGGACUCGGAAAUCAAGUCCCACGACAGAGGACUGGCCUCCCCACCCCCACCCCCCGCAGAAAGAGCUGUCUGUGCAAGAAGGUAAUCAUUCCCAGUGGAACUUUCUAGAUUGGAGGCUUCACGUCUGAUCUGUUUCUGUUGAGUGAUGGGAACAAAUCUGGAGAAGCCCUCGUGGUGGGACAAACACGUCGUGCUGUGCUGAAAGCUGCCGCUGGCCAGGCGUGGUGCUGGAGACCUCCGUGUGAUGUCUUUUCAUAGCCUUUAAGGCCCUUCCUUUCCUGUGGGGAAAGGAACGAUAAACUUCGAUUUCCCACCGUGCGUUCGGCCAGGAGGGUAAGGUGUUGGCUCCCUCCCUCCCCCCGGGCUCUGUCGUCAGCCCGCUGCUCUGACUCAGAGACCAGGGUGUCUGAUGUAGGCCUGGGGUGUCCAGCAGACAUGCCCGUGACCCCCAGCCUAGAGAUUGCAUAAUGAGGGAGAAAGGUCGAAACCCUCCCCUGCCUCUGUCGUAGGCUGGCCUUCUGGAACUGGACACUGAGACAGAGGUUGGGAACAGGAUUGUUUGUGUGGUUUUUCUUUUGGAUUAAUUCUUUGGCGGGAAGGCAGAGGACGCAGGACUGGGCAGAGGGAGACGGUGAACUGCUCUGUGGCCUGGCACAGCCCGGGACGGUGUGAUGGGGCAGUCGACGUGAAGGCUUCGUCAGAGUCCACACGGCCUAAAUGCCCAGGUAGACAUGCCGGCAAGGGCUGGCUUGGGCCAGGCGGCUCUCUGCAGCCGGGACAGACCUCGAAGGGGCUGUCAGCUAGCUGACCACACUCCCCGCAGCGGGCGACCUGAAGGCAGUUUAAUUCUAGACCAGUGCUCUCUAACUGUGCCCUCGGACCCUGGGAGUUCUGUGAUAAAGAAAGACCCGUGAAUGGUUUCCAAAUUGCAAAACAUAUGUCUUUAUACCUGAAAUAAAGCCACAGCCGAAGGUUGCCCUUGUCCGUUCUAGACGUGAUGAGCAAACGUUAGCAGUGCGGGCUGCACGAUGGCAGACGUGUCGAGGACGGAAUCGCAGACACGUCUCCAGCCGGGGACUUGGGGCCAGUCACGUAGCUACUUACCCACUGUCCCUUGACCAAACUCUGGUCAGGCCCCUCUGGGCUCUUUCUCAGCCGGGCUUUGACCUUGCGCAGGCCCUCAAGAGCCAAGUCUUAGCAAGAACCCUGCUAAGUCAGUUUAGCCAGAAUCGCCCAGCCUCCAUAUCAGGCUGCCUCUACAUCCGCCCAGUCCUCGUCGCUCCCCCACCCCGGCCGGUCUGACCCCCCGGCCCGCCUGCAGCAGGAACCCUGUUCCGUCGGUUUGGCCGGGACCCUCUCCCUCACCCCUGAGGUUUCUCCUAUUAAUUUUCCAUCCAUGGACCCCCACCUGCGCCUUGGCUAUAAAUUCUCACUUUUCCUUGUUGAAUUCAGAGUCGAACCCCAUCUCUCUUUCCUCCUGCAAAAUCUCCUUGCAGUGAGCCCUAACCGAUUGUGACAGUCCU
RNAcentral lists this long non-coding RNA (7623 nucleotides) under Equus caballus (horse). RNAcentral describes it as "lncRNA (ENSECAG00000058803.1)". The record is from RNAcentral. Lineage: Eukaryota; Metazoa; Chordata; Mammalia; Perissodactyla; Equidae.